RNAcentral lists this ribosomal RNA (138 nucleotides) under Cytospora mali. Its description in RNAcentral is "partial 28S ribosomal RNA". The record is from RNAcentral. Lineage: Eukaryota; Fungi; Ascomycota; Sordariomycetes; Diaporthales; Cytosporaceae.
CUCGCCAGGACUCCGAGCGCAGUAGUAAAACCCUCGCUUUGGACUGUACUGGCGCGGCCCUGCCGUAAAACCCCCAACUUCUGAAAAUUUGACCUCGGAUCAGGUAGGAAUACCCGCUGAACUUAAGCAUAUCAUAAG